Molecule: long non-coding RNA, 212 nt
Filed under: Lathyrus oleraceus (garden pea)
Lineage: Eukaryota; Viridiplantae; Streptophyta; Magnoliopsida; Fabales; Fabaceae
Description: Pisum sativum (pea) long non-coding RNA (PSAT_LNC031343)
Source: RNAcentral
AGAGGCUAACCUAAGAAAAAAUUAAAAGUUAAGAGUUGAAAAGAUAUGACCAAUGGGAUACAAUCCAACAGACAUAUAAAAACCCAUUUUCCUUUGGACUUUAAUCAAGCAAUAAGCAAUGAGCAAUAUCCAAACAUCAUGAAGAUCAAGGCAUCCAAUAAAGAUAGCCAUAUCCAAGCCAGCACUCUAAUAUCUAGCAGUCUUAAGUGUCU